CUACGGGUCGCAGCAGUGGGGAAUCUUAGACAAUGGGCGCAAGCCUGAUCUAGCCAUGCCGCGUGAGUGACGAAGGCCUUAGGGUCGUAAAGCUCUUUCGCUAGGGAAGAUAAUGACUGUACCUAGUAAAGAAACCCCGGCUAACUCCGUGCCAGCAGCCGCGGUAAUACGGAGGGGGUUAGCGUUGUUCGGAAUUACUGGGCGUAAAGCGCGCGUAGGCGGAUCAGAAAGUUGGGGGUGAAAUCCCAGGGCUCAACCCUGGAACUGCCUCCAAAACUCCUGGUCUUGAGUUCGAGAGAGGUGAGUGGAAUUCCGAGUGUAGAGGUGAAAUUCGUAGAUAUUCGGAGGAACACCAGUGGCGAAGGCGGCUCACUGGCUCGAUACUGACGCUGAGGUGCGAAAGCGUGGGGAGCAAACAGGAUUAGAUACCCUUGUAGUC
Molecule: ribosomal RNA, 439 nt
Filed under: uncultured bacterium
Lineage: Bacteria
Description: partial 16S ribosomal RNA
Rfam family: Bacterial small subunit ribosomal RNA
Source: RNAcentral